CCGAGAUCGCGUCCAGACCUGGGUGACAGAGCGAGACUCCCUCUCAAAAAAAAAAGAAAAGCAAGCUCUCAUCACCCCAGCCUCCUGGGGCUUGUAGGAUGAAAUGUAACUUUAAGGCCCAACGUGCUUUUCCAGCAUACGGACUCUUCCUGCCAGCGCACCCUGGGCUUCCUUGUACUGUAUUAAUUCCUGCCCCUGUGCCUUUGUGCAUACUCUUCCUUCUGCUUAGGUGGAGCAUAGGAAAGUAAAGUCAAAAUUCGGGUUCCCUGUACUCCUGUAAGCCUUCCCUGCCUCCCUUAGGCAAACCAGUAAUUUCCUAACUUCCUCCUCUGCUCACUCAUGUCGUGCUGUAAUUUUUAAUUCGUUUUCAUCUUUUUUCUCAACUAGACUCCUCAAAGGCAGCGACCACAUUGUUCUUUGUCUCUGGGAUCCAGUAGUGUUGAAUGAGCUGCUAUCAUCUCUUCUCGAGAUGUGGAGUGAUCUUGGCUCCUCACUAUCAUACUCCCUUAUGUGGUCCUUUGUACUGACCUGAGCAAUAAUGAUGCUGAAGGCCCCACUGUUCGCUGCCAGCCCACAGAGAAGAAGUCUAUGCCAGAGAACGAGUGACCAGAAGAGGCUAUGCUCACAGAAGUCAGAGAAGCAGAGUCUUCAGGAAGGGAGAACAUCGGUGUCCACCAAGCAGAGAUACCUCAUGAGAUAGAUUGAAGUGUGGCCCCUGGAUUUCAGAAAUGGAUGUCAUCUGUCCAUGGAGGAGUAGGGUUUCUAACCUGUAAUUUGAUAUGCUUUGUGGAUUUGCCUGGCACUCUGAGCAAAUGACCAAAACCAAUUAUUCUGCCAGGUAGGCCUCUGUUCUCACGUUAAUAACAUUCUAGUUGUGAGUCAUUUAUGACUUCGAUGAGAGAGUAUAAAACAAACAGUUCCAUUAGGGGUUGGUUUUUCCCUGGACAAAUGGGUACAGAGCUGGGCCUGCUGAUGAGCUCAGCAAGAAGUCCCCACCCUGGGAAGCCCUGCCAACUGCCAGCACCUUGUAUUCAGCAGGCUCUCAGCCACACACAGGCUAAGUCACAGCCCCUGGCCCCAUUAGGAAUGUGUGUAUCCUUUCCUGCCUGAAUGGCCCACUGAGAGGUCGUUGGGAAAAUUCUUGGAGCGUCGGAUUCCUGGAUGUCUUGAAUUCCAAAGAGCUUGAAUCAGCACAAAGCUUAGGGCCCAGGGCUGUAUUUUAAAGGAAGACGCAGCAGGGGCAGGUGAUGGUAAAUAGAGGAGAGUGAACAUGGCGGGAACAGACUUCAGGCUGCACCUGUGACUGAGGACAGCCCCCAAAUUCUUAGUUCUGAGAGAAACCCCUGAGGGCCAAAAACAGCAUGCUCAGUUCCUGGUAAUUCCUUAAAAACAGGCUUCUAUCAGACCUGGCUCUAAAAAAACAUUCACUCAGGCUGGAUCCAGGUUUGGGGCCCUGAG
This 1458-nucleotide long non-coding RNA is filed under the name Homo sapiens (human). RNAcentral describes it as "HSALNT0034934". Lineage: Eukaryota; Metazoa; Chordata; Mammalia; Primates; Hominidae. The record is from RNAcentral.